This 467-nucleotide ribosomal RNA is filed under the name uncultured bacterium. RNAcentral describes it as "partial 16S ribosomal RNA". It matches the Rfam family "Bacterial small subunit ribosomal RNA", at positions 29 to 507 of the family's 1533-position model. The record is from RNAcentral.
ACGAACGCUGGCGGCGUGCUUAACACAUGCAAGUCGCACGGAAAGGCCCUGCUUUUGUGGGGUGCUCGAGUGGCGAACGGGUGAGUAACACGUGAGUAACCUGCCCUUGACUUUGGGAUAACUUCAGGAAACUGGGGCUAAUACCGGAUAGGAGCUCCUGCUGCAUGGUGGGGGUUGGAAAGUUUCGGCGGUUGGGGAUGGACUCGCGGCUUAUCAGCUUGUUGGUGGGGUAGUGGCUUACCAAGGCUUUGACGGGUAGCCGGCCUGAGAGGGUGACCGGCCACAUUGGGACUGAGAUACGGCCCAGACUCCUACGGGAGGCAGCAGUGGGGAAUAUUGCACAAUGGGCGGAAGCCUGAUGCAGCAACCCCGCGUGCGGGAUGACGGCCUUCGGGUUGUAAACCGCUUUCGCCUGUGACGAAGCGUGAGUGACGGUAAUGGGUAAAGAAGCACCGGCUAACUACGUG